GUAUGGAACUCAAGGACAUUAGACCUAAUUUUUCUUUUCCCUCUCCCCUUUUCCAUUUCCUGUCCCCGCUUCACUCUUUUUUUUGAAGGGCAGCCCAGGUCCUCCCGGUGCUCCUGGAAUGCCUGGACCUAUUGGAUGGCCUGGCCCAAUGGGGCCUACGGGUGAAAAGGGAGAUUUAGGUUUGAUGGGAUUGCCAGGUACAAGAGGACCAAUGGGCCAUAAGGGUUACCCAGGAAGCAGAGGAGAAAAGGUUGGUGAUACAGAGAUGUCUUAGUUUAAUUACUUCAACCACGGUAAUCUAUGCUUCUCAGACCAAAAGGAAAAGGAAAAAAUGUGGGGGAGAAGUAAUAUGUUGAUGAGUUCAAGAUGGCAGGACCUGAGCCACUUAUGCAUGGCACCCAACUGUUUGUUCCCAAGCUGCUCAUAAAGUUCUUCAGUGGGCAUUGUUGGCAUCUGUGUGCAAC
This 464-nucleotide long non-coding RNA is filed under the name Pogona vitticeps (central bearded dragon). RNAcentral's name for it is "lncRNA (ENSPVIG00000015294.1)". Lineage: Eukaryota; Metazoa; Chordata; Lepidosauria; Squamata; Agamidae. The record is from RNAcentral.